UACGUAGGGUGCGAGCGUUGUCCGGAAUUACUGGGCGUAAAGAGCUCGUAGGUGGUUUGUCGCGUUGUUCGUGAAAACCGGGGGCUUAACCCUCGGCGUGCGGGCGAUACGGGCAGACUUGAGUACUGCAGGGGAGACUGGAAUUCCAGGUGUAGCGGUGAAAUGCGUAGAUAUCAGGAAGAACACCCGUGGCGAAGGCGGCUCUCUGGAACGCAACUGACGCUGAGACGCGAAGGCGUGGGGAGCAAACAGG
This 253-nucleotide ribosomal RNA is filed under the name uncultured bacterium. RNAcentral describes it as "partial 16S ribosomal RNA". It matches the Rfam family "Bacterial small subunit ribosomal RNA", at positions 524 to 776 of the family's 1533-position model. The record is from RNAcentral.